RNAcentral lists this long non-coding RNA (688 nucleotides) under Malus domestica (apple). RNAcentral describes it as "long non-coding RNA (MDOM_LNC001408)". Lineage: Eukaryota; Viridiplantae; Streptophyta; Magnoliopsida; Rosales; Rosaceae. The record is from RNAcentral.
CGACGAAGGUAUCAAUGAAAAAGUAGAGGAGAUUGGGAUUAUGGGUUGUGUUUGGUUGCUGAGAAAAUGAUAGGUUUUUUUUUUUUUUUUUUUACCUUUUCUUUAAUUACUUAUUUUUAAAUGCAUAAAUUUUUUUUUUUUGCCACGUAGUAUAAAUUUGGCAGUCACGUCAACACAAAUGUGGAUUUCAUAUUUGCCACGUCAUCACUUAACGGUUUACUUAACAGAUUUUCUAACGGAUGUAUGAAAUUGAAAUAAAAUAGUAGGUGAGGGAUGAAAGUGAAUGUUAUAAAAAUGUUGUAAGGAAUUGAAAUCGACCACAAACCUGAAAGGGUAAAAUGUAAUUUACCCAAGAUAUUUAGUGCAAGUAACUCAAGAGAGUAAAGUAAUGAGUUGUGCGCUUGAGAGGUUCUUAGCUAUCUUAGUUUCAAAUAAGAGCCAAGUAAUGAGUUGGACGUUUAAAAGAUUCUUAAUUAUCUUCAAUUGCCUACUUUUUGUAUCUCUUUCAUCAAAUAUCAUGUUUGAUGUAACUCAAUGGUUUUUUGUUAAAAAGAAAUUAAGGAACGUGCAUUAUUAAUUUCAUUUUCAAACGGCAUAGUAGUAUCUCUGUUAGCAAAAACCCCAACUCAUCAAAAGCAAUGCAAUGCAAGUAAACAAAGCCUAAAGACCCACCAAAAUCACCACCCCC